CGGGCAGGCGGACUAUCAAGUCUGACGUGAAAGCUCCCGGCUUAACUGGGAGAGGCCGUUAGAAACUGAUGGGCUAGAGGGCAGUAGAGGGGCGUGGAAUUCCGGGUGGAGUGGUGAAAUGCGUAGAGAUCCGGAGGAACACCAGAGGCGAAGGCGGCGCCCUGGGCUGCACCUGACGCUGAGCCGCGAAAGCCAGGGUAGCGAACG
Molecule: ribosomal RNA, 207 nt
Filed under: uncultured bacterium
Lineage: Bacteria
Description: partial 16S ribosomal RNA
Rfam family: Bacterial small subunit ribosomal RNA
Source: RNAcentral